This is a long non-coding RNA of Myodes glareolus (Bank vole), 1162 nucleotides long. RefSeq lists it as uncharacterized. The record is from RefSeq and is a predicted model, not a curated record. Lineage: Eukaryota; Metazoa; Chordata; Mammalia; Rodentia; Cricetidae.
UCCCCCGCACUCCGCAGGCCACGGCUGCCUUGCGACACCUGCUCGCAGCCCUCUCUCUGACCGAGCGCAGUACCUCCUGCGCUCCCCCAGGCUCUCCAGCGUCCGCACCUCCGAAGCGACCGAGAUACCCAAACUGCUUCUCUGCUGAGAUGUCCUGGACCGCUGCCACACUGAGACUGGCAUCUUCUUACCUCCAAGCUGGGCUCUGACUGGGCCUUGCCUGGUUACCCUGGCAGCACCCUGAUCACGUGACUUCCUCACUUACUUUGUCGUUUUAUUUAAACUGUUCUAACCAUCCUGGAAUGUGAGCUUCGUGGGAGCAGGGAACCUUGUUUUUAGACUUCAUGGUUGUUCCUUACAGGUUGUUCCUGUCACAGUACCUGCCACCUAACAUUGCCCAAGAAACUAAUAAACAAAUGGCCUAGGUUGAACUUCCCACUCUACUCUUCCCCCCAAACCUGUUCAGCCUCUGCUGUUCCCUGACCUGGUAGUGACUCUGUUCUUGCAUGGGCACCAAGGCAAUAAAUUUCUGCUUACAAACUGACUCAUAUUCCUCUCCUUCCUCCUUUCCCUCUCCUCCUCUCUCCUUCUCCUCCCCUUUUUAUGUCUUUCUCCCUCCUUCUUCAUCUGACACCUCUAGCUCUCGCAGUUCCUGGAACCUAUCCCUUCCCCUUUAUCUCACUACUUUGCCGCUAGCUAGAAGCCACCUGUUCACGCAAUCCGCUCCUUUGUCCCUUCACCCUCCAGAGUGUCCAGAGGCAGAUACACCAACCUUUUGUAUUCCGUUUCCCAGAUCUGAUGAAAAGCAAAGCGCCACCUUUCCCAGACCCAGCUACUAGAUGCGCACACACAGGGCGACGGGAGUGGGAGGGCUUGUCUUCACUCUUCAUUUGGACUGUCUUGCUCUAAAGAGUAAGAGACUGAGUUCAGCCCCAGUGGGAUGGCUGUUAACUCCACCACCACCGAGACUCGGGGAAGAGGUGGCUAGAGAAGACUGCCAGGAAAUGCGGUUUUCUGGAUGGGAUGUGGCUAUUGCAGUCACGAACCCACAAGAUCUGCACAAGAGCAAGCUAGCCAAAAUCCUGGCACAGAUAGGGUGAUGUGGGAGUCCCCUCUGUAUGCUGUGAAUAUGUACUAUUACCAUUGGUUAAUAAAGAAGCUU